This 985-nucleotide ribosomal RNA is filed under the name human gut metagenome. RNAcentral's name for it is "bacterial LSU rRNA". It matches the Rfam family "Bacterial large subunit ribosomal RNA", at positions 1942 to 2925 of the family's 2925-position model. The record is from RNAcentral.
AUAACGGUCCUAAGGUAGCGAAAUUCCUUGUCAGGUAAGUUCUGACCCGCACGAAAGGCGUAACGAUUUGGGCGCUGUCUCGGCUGUAGACUCGGUGAAGUCUUAGUACCUGUGAAGAUGCAGGUUACCCGCGACUAGACGGAAAGACCCCAUGGAGCUUCACUGCAGGUUGAUAUUGGGAUUUGAUGCAGCAUGUACAGGAUAGGUAGGAGGCAAAGAGAUGGAUACGCCAGUAUUCAAGGAGCCGCUGUUGGGAUACUACCCCUGUUGUAUUGGAUUUCUAACCGGACGACGUAGAGCCGUUGACGGGACAGUGUCAGUCGGGCAGUUUGACUGGGGCGGUCGCCUCCCAAAGAGUAACGGAGGCGCCCAAAGAUACCCUCAGCUUGGAUGGAAACCAAGCGCAGAGUGCAAAGGCAAAAGGGUGUUUGACUGCGAGACCAACAAGUCGAGCAGGGACGAAAGUCGGGCUUAGUGAUCCGGCGGUGCUGAAUGGAAAGGCCGUCGCUCAACGGAUAAAAGCUACCCUGGGGAUAACAGGCUGAUCUCCCCCAAGAGUUCACAUCGACGGGGAGGUUUGGCACCUCGAUGUCGGCUCAUCGCAUCCUGGAGCUGAAGUCGGUUCCAAGGGUUGGGCUGUUCGCCCAUUAAAGCGGUACGCGAGCUGGGUUCAGAACGUCGUGAGACAGUUCGGUCCCUAUCUGUCGUGGGCGCAGGAAAUUUGAGAAGAGCUGUCCUCAGUACGAGAGGACCGGGAUGGACGCAUCAAUGGUGGACCAGUUGUCACGCCAGUGGCAUAGCUGGGUAGCUAAAUGCGGAAGGGAUAAACGCUGAAGGCAUCUAAGUGUGAAACCCACUUCAAGAUGAGAUUUCCCAUUGCGCAAGCAAGUAAGACCCCUUAAAGACGAUAAGGUAGAUAGGUCAGGAGUGUAAGCAUGGUGACAUGUUAAGCGGACUGAUACUAAUAGGUCGAGGGCUUGACCGA